AUGUGUGUCUCACCGGGAGAACAAAGCAAAGCUGGUUCCUCCCACGGUGAGGUGUGUGUGUGUGUAGAGUUUCAUGUGUAUGUGUGUGUUCUUGUGUUCUUGAGAGAAGAAGAUAGAGAGAAACCACAAGAGAGUUUUGUGAGGGAGCUCGAGGUAGAAGAAGAAGCGGCGCUGCGAGGAGGCGGCGCCAACAAGAAGAGCUCGCCGGUGAGGAGCGACUUUUUCUUUUUGACGCCCAUUUCCUUGAAAUCUGCCGUAGGCUUGGUGGCCGUGAUCUCGAUGCCGAUCUCCGCGAGCUCGAUGGCACUGACGGAAAUUGAUAUCUUCUCCGCUUUUUUAUGA
Molecule: ribosomal RNA, 342 nt
Filed under: Triticum aestivum (bread wheat)
Lineage: Eukaryota; Viridiplantae; Streptophyta; Magnoliopsida; Poales; Poaceae
Description: partial small subunit ribosomal RNA
Source: RNAcentral